UGUUUAAGUAGCUUAAUUUAUAUAAAGCAUAGUACUGAAAAUACUAAGAUUGGUACCUUUACCCUUAAAUAU
Molecule: transfer RNA, 72 nt
Filed under: Travisia sanrikuensis
Lineage: Eukaryota; Metazoa; Annelida; Polychaeta; Opheliidae
Description: tRNA-Phe
Rfam family: tRNA
About the family: Transfer RNA (tRNA) molecules are approximately 80 nucleotides in length.
Source: RNAcentral